Molecule: long non-coding RNA, 2126 nt
Organism: Acipenser ruthenus (sterlet)
Lineage: Eukaryota; Metazoa; Chordata; Actinopteri; Acipenseriformes; Acipenseridae
Exons: 3
Source: RefSeq, a predicted model, not a curated record
UAAUGUUGGUGUGUAUAUAUAUGGGUGUACGGGAUAUAAAUGGGUCUGUGUAGCACGAGUGAUUUAAAAUAUAUAGUUGUAUUUAGGCACUGGGAUUGCACAAUCACUUCACGUGCUGAUAAAGUAUGUAAUAGUAUGUGAGCACAGGGAUUGCACAAAUUAGUUCACGUGCUGGGAUUCAAGUGAAUAAUUAAUUAGUAAUUAAAUCCCGACUCAAUUGUAUAUAUAGAGGCACGAAGGACUCACUUGGGGUUGGGUGUUCGGUGAGUAGAGAACGGGCGAGAGAAGGAGAAAGUUGUCUGUUACACUGUCGUACAAAUCAGUGGGAUCUGCAGCAUUCUUGGCAGGAGGAACGAUCAUGCCAUUUCUUCCAUUGGUAAACAUCCCAGUGAGGACUCUGGUGAGAUACAUGUACUUCUGUCCUUGUGGAUCGGGUACAGAGUGACCCCUAAAACAUGUCCAUGGGCCAAAUCGAGCACCGUCUUUUUAAAACCUGUAGGUACCAGUAAUUGUUCAAUCACUAUUUUCUAUGUUAUCCACUCUGUACAACAAGUUAUUCUUCAUCAUAAAAUAGGGAUAAGUAUUAGGCAUGUUUUCAUUAUUUAUGGGGGCCCCAUUGAUUACCUUCAUGUUUUCUUUGGCAUGAUACAGGUUCGGGUCCUGCGCUUGCGCAGUCCCAAAGUUAGUGGGUGAUACCUCUAAGUCUGGUAAUUCAAUGUCCUGAACCACUGGGUGGCCGGAUAGAGGAUUAACCUCUUUACUACUGGGGUGCUGGUACUAGGCUCUUCUCUGUCUAUAAGAGAACCUGGAUCCCUGCUAGUACUGGGUCUAGGUGCAUUAACUUCUUCUGUAUUAUCAUUGUCACCAACUAAAACCUUUACAGGUGAAUCGUCCGAGACCACACUUUUUUUCCUCAUUAGGCUGUUGAGUUGAGGUUGCCUGCUUUUGGCUCUGGGUGGUAAUUUCUCCCUCUAUACUUCUGGGGUGCGGUUCCAAUAUGCUCUGGUUUGGUCUCAAUUUUGAGAAAUUUGGGAAAUAUCACCCCAGUAUUACAUUGUAUGACAUGGAUGGUACAACACCAACCUGAUAAUCAAGAGACCUUUUUGCAUCGUUUUUUCAUAGCACAGUUUUUUAUACCAGUUUUUAUAACAUCUACAGCAGUUACUGCAUAAUGUAAUAUUUCUUAGUGCUUGUCAUUUAAGGUUUAACAUAAGUGUUAUAUUACAGUAUAUGACUGUAGUAAACAGCAGUGUGGAGUAGUGGUUAGGGCUCUGGACUCUUGACCGGAGGGUCAUGGGUUCAAUCCCAGGUGGGAACACUGCUGCUGUACCCUUGAGCAAGGUACUUUACCUAGAUUGCUCCAGUAAAAACCCAACUGUAUAAAUGGGUAAUUGUAUGUAAAAAUAAUUGUAAGUCGCCCUGGAUAAGGAUGUCUGCUAAGAAAUAAAUAAUAAUGACUGAGUGACACAAGCAGAGGGUACAAAGCUGUCAGUGUUUUCAGCUUCUUUGUUUGUGGUGAAUUGGUUAUAAUUGAUCAGUUAUUUUUUAAGGCUUAUUUUGUAUUUAUAAAUGUAUCGCGUACCAAUAUGUAUACAUUUUUAAAAUAUUUAUUCAUUGGCACUCAGAUUGUCUUCCUACAGAUGUCAGGACUGCCCAGUCCCUGACCACAUUCCGGCGCCUCCUUAAGACUCACCUCUUCAAACAGCACCUGUAGAACUCCUCUGUUUGUAUCCUGGGUCACUAUCACCCUUCAUGUAAAUGUACUUUAUUUUGCUCUUAUCUGCCCCCUAUUUUACUGCAUUUAAUCCUGUACUUCAGAAUACUGUAAUCUGCCAAGUGUUUAACCUGUAGUACUUUGUAUCUAAUCAUAUCCUGAUGUAACUAUCACUAUUUAAUCAUAUCCUGAUGUAACUAUCACUAUUAUCUGCUGUAUUAUUGAAUUGUGGUUUGUCGCACUUGUACUUUGCUUGAACAAAAGUUAUUGUAUUUCUUGCUCUUAUUGUAUUACUUGUAUUGUAACACUUGAAAUGUAUUUGCUUACGAUUGUAAGUCGCCCUGGAUAAGGGCAUCUGCUAAGAAAUAAAUAAUAAUAAUAAUAAUAAUUGUCUCAAUUUUUAAAAUGUUUA